Non-coding RNA from Arabidopsis thaliana (thale cress), 196 nucleotides. RefSeq annotates it as other RNA. The transcript has a single exon. The record is from RefSeq. NCBI's taxonomy places the organism in Eukaryota, Viridiplantae, Streptophyta, Magnoliopsida, Brassicales, Brassicaceae.
UUCUCAACAUUGGUUGAGAAUCUAAUCAUCAAGAAGCCAUGAAAUAAUAUGAAGAGAGUUUGCAGCAAAACAUGUUUCAUAGUAUACAAAGCCAAUCAACAACAAUAGUGAACAGAACAGAUUCCCCAAAUUUGGAUCUUACAAUAACAAAUCUAGAAGAUCAUAUUUUUACCUUUACUUGCGCUGAUGAGGAAGA